Molecule: ribosomal RNA, 1400 nt
Filed under: uncultured Planctomycetota bacterium
Lineage: Bacteria; Pseudomonadati; Planctomycetota
Description: bacterial SSU rRNA
Rfam family: Bacterial small subunit ribosomal RNA
Source: RNAcentral
AGAGUUUGAUCCUGGAUCACAACGAACGUUGUCAGCCUGCAUUAGGCAUGCGACUUGAUCGUACCCAGCAAUGGGCAUCAGCGUAAGGGGCAUUAAUGCAUGGGUAUCUACCCGGGGAUCGGGCAUAGCCUGUAAAUAUACAGGGUAAUUCCCUAUGAUGUCACAAGACCAAAGCUCCUGCGUCCCUGGAGGAGCCCAUGUGGUAUUAACUAGUUGGUGGGGUAACGGCCCACCAAUGUGAAGAUGCCUAUCGGGUGUGAGAGCAUGACCCGCGCCACUGGCACUGAGACACUGGCCACACACCUACCGUUGGCUGCAUUCGAGGAUCUCCGGCCAUGGGCGCAAGCCUGACCGAGCGAGGCCGCGUGAGCGAUGAAUGCCUUCGGGUUGUAAAGCCCUGUCGAGACGCACAAAAGCGAAAGCUUGAUCUAUCUCUGGAGGAAGCACGGGCUAACUUCGUGCCAUCAACCUCGCUAAAACGAACCGUGCAAACGUUGUUCGGAAUCACUGGGCUUAAAUGGCGCGUAUGCGGGCUAUCAACUCCGGCGUGAAAUCCUCCACCUCAACUGUAUAACUGCCUCGGAUACUGAUGGUCUCUCAGGGGGAUAAGAGCACACUGAACUGUGUGUGGAGCGGUGAAAUGCGUUGAUAUCCAUAGGAACUCAGGUGGUGAAAGCGGUGUGCUGGAUCCGUUCUGAUGGUGAGGCGCGAAAGCCAGGGGAGCAAAUGGGAUUAGAUACUCCGGUAGUCCUGGCCCUUAACGUUGGGUAUUAGGUAGCAGACUUGACAUGGGUUUACUUGUGAAGCAAAAGUUCUAAGUACUUCGCCUGGGGAGUAUGGUCGCAAGGCUGAUAUUCAAAGGAAUUGACGGGGGGUCACGCAAGCGGUGGAGCAUGUGGGUUAAUUGGAGGCAACGUGAAGAACCUUACCUGGGUUUGACAUGUUUGAAAGAGUCAGGAAGUAGAACCCGGAAACGGGAUCGAACGGUAUCCAAUCCGGACCCGGACACAGGUGGGGCAUGGCUGUCGUCAGCUGGUGUCGUGUGAUGUGGGGUUAAGUCCCAUAACGAGCGAAACCUUUACCCUCAGUUGGUAAUUAUAGGUCUGUGGGGGGACCGCCGGUGUUAAACCGGAGGAAGGUGGGGAUGAUGUCAAGUCGUCAUGGCUUUUAUGCCCAGGGCGGCACAUCGUGCUACAAUGGCGUGAACAAAGGGAUGCCAACGCGCGAGCGGGAGCGAACCCCAAAAAUCACGCCCCAGGUCAGAUCGGAGGUUGCAACUCACCUCCGUGAAGUCGGAAUCGCUAGUAAUUGCGGGUCAGCAACACCGCGGUGAAUGUGUUCGUGAGCCUUGUACACACCGCCCGUCAAGCCACGAAAGGAAGGGGCGCCCGAAGUCACCU